GUGCCAGCCGCCGCGGUAAUACGAAGGGGGCUAGCGUUGUUCGGAAUUACUGGGCGUAAAGCGCGCGCAGGCGGUCCUUCAAGUCAGAGGUGAAAGCCCAGAGCUCAACUCUGGAACGGCCUUUGAAACUAGAGGACUAGGGUACGGGAGAGGUGAGUGGAAUUCCGAGUGUAGAGGUGAAAUUCGUAGAUAUUCGGAAGAACACCAGUGGCGAAGGCGGCUCACUGGCCCGUUACCGACGCUCAGGCGCGACAGCGUGGGGAGCAAACAGGAUUAGAUACCCGUGUAGUCC
This 292-nucleotide ribosomal RNA is filed under the name uncultured bacterium. RNAcentral's name for it is "partial 16S ribosomal RNA". It matches the Rfam family "Bacterial small subunit ribosomal RNA", at positions 505 to 796 of the family's 1533-position model. The record is from RNAcentral.